UACGGAGGGUCCAAGCGUUAUCCGGAAUCAUUGGGUUUAAAGGGUGCGCAGGCGGUAAAGUAAGUCAGUGGUGAAAUCUCUCGGCUCAACCGAGAAACUGCCAUUGAUACUGCUAUACUUGAAUAUAGUCGAAGUGGGCGGAAUGUGACAUGUAGCGGUGAAAUGCUUAGAUAUGUCACAGAACACCGAUAGCGAAGGCAGCUCACUAGACUAACAUUGACGCUCAUGCACGAAAGCGUGGGGAGCGAACAGG
This 253-nucleotide ribosomal RNA is filed under the name uncultured bacterium. Its description in RNAcentral is "partial 16S ribosomal RNA". It matches the Rfam family "Bacterial small subunit ribosomal RNA", at positions 524 to 776 of the family's 1533-position model. The record is from RNAcentral.